This 253-nucleotide ribosomal RNA is filed under the name uncultured bacterium. RNAcentral describes it as "partial 16S ribosomal RNA". It matches the Rfam family "Bacterial small subunit ribosomal RNA", at positions 524 to 776 of the family's 1533-position model. The record is from RNAcentral.
UACAGAGGGUGCAAGCGUUAUUCGGAAUUACUGGGCGUAAAGCGCGCGUAGGCGGACUGUUAAGUCGGUUGUGAAAGCCCUGGGCUCAACCUAGGAAUUGCAUCCGAUACUGGCAAUCUAGAGUUUAGGAGAGGGAAGUGGAAUUCCUGGUGUAGCAGUGAAAUGCGUAGAUAUCAGGAGGAACAUCAGUGGCGAAGGCGACUUCCUGGCCUAAAACUGACGCUGAGGUGCGAAAGCGUGGGUAGCGAACGGG